RNAcentral lists this long non-coding RNA (6288 nucleotides) under Salmo salar (Atlantic salmon). RNAcentral describes it as "lncRNA (ENSSSAG00000120303.1)". The record is from RNAcentral. Lineage: Eukaryota; Metazoa; Chordata; Actinopteri; Salmoniformes; Salmonidae.
GUGGGAUGCAGCUAGAAGGGUCACUUUCUACAGUUUACUGACAAAACAUAUUUUGCUGUUAAUUCGACAAUCUGACUAAAGUAUGACUUCACUUGAUAUGCUGAAAUAAAAACUCGGUAAUUCACGAAACCGUGCCUGGUCCUGUGUUUUCAGUCGCUAAAACGUUAGGCCUGUCUGUGCGUUUCUGUGUGUGUAUGUGUGUUGUGUGAUGACGCGAUGAUCCGCAAGCCAUAGAGGGAUCGAUGGAGACUGGUAUAGAUGGAGACAUACCGAUAGAGGGACGGAAGACAUCGUGGCACUAGAACUGUAGUGUAUGGGAAUAUCAAGUAGAGAGAGAAAGAGAUAAAUAUAGCUUCAACAACGAGAGAGAUAGUGAGAGAGAGAGAGAGAGAGAGAGAGAACACGGGCUGUGAAUUCGCGGACGACAUGAGAUCUCUACAUGAAUAGUAUAAAAUGUUUUAAAACUCAGCGUUUUGCCUUACAAACGUGUUGUCCGGAGACAGCCACUAAAACAGGACUACACAUCAAGUUCAGGCAGUAGGGGGCAGCAUGCCUGAGCAGAGUAAUGACUACAGGGUGGUGGUGUUUGGAGCGGGGGGAGUGGGGAAGAGCUCCCUGGUCCUACGCUUCGUUAAAGGCACCUUCAGGGACACCUAUAUUCCCACUGUGGAGGACACCUAUCGACAGGUGAGACAGGGACACCUAUAUUCCCACUGUGGAGGACACCUAUCGACAGGUGAGACAGGGACACCUAUAUUCCCACUGUGGAGGACACCUAUCGACAGGUGAUCAGCUGUGAUAAGAGUGUGUGUACUCUCCAGAUAACUGAUACAACAGGCAGUCACCAGUUCCCUGCCAUGCAGAGGCUGUCCAUAUCUAAAGGACAUGCCUUCAUACUGGUCUACUCUGUAACCAGCAAACAGUCACUGGAAGAACUGAAGCCUAUCUACCAACAGGUGAUAGCCAUAAAGGGGAACAUAGAGGCCAUCCCCAUCAUGUUGGUGGGCAACAAGAGUGAUGAGACCCAGAGAGAGGUGGAGACUAAAGAUGGAGAGGCACAGGCGACCACGUGGAAGUGUGCGUUCAUGGAGACGUCAGCGAAGACCAACCACAACGUGACCGAGCUGUUCCAGGAGCUGCUCAACCUGGACAAGAAGAGAAACAUGAGUCUCAACAUCGACGGGAAACGGUCCGGAAAACAGUCCAGAGCCGAGAGACUGAAGGGAAAAUGUAGUGUGAUGUAGAGAAGAGGAGAGAGGGAUGGAGAGGAGAGAAGGAAGGAAGGGAGGUAACAAGGAAGACAGAAAGUGUGAGGAUAGAAGAGAAGGAAUGGGAGAGGGAGAGAAAGAGAAGAGAGUGAAGAGAGGACCACUGGUGGGUUCUAUACCUCUCCCUCUCAGUAUCCUCCUCUCUCUUUUCCUGUCUGCCUGACCAGGGUCCUAACCCUCCAUACAGUCCCACUGUAGUGAAAAGAUUUGGGGGGUAUUCUGAACACGACUCCAACCCGCAACCCUGCAUCUGUCUGCAUCAGUCCAACACCUCAGCCAUUACGCCGUGAGGUCCCAACCUCUUGGCGAGGUCACUAGAUGUUACACUAGGGACACUCCAACAUAACGUACAUAUCCUAUGUAUACAUGGCCUCCCUCUCUAGCACCUCUGAAAGAUACAGACAGUAUUACCCCCUAGCCGUGUCUAACUGUCAUCAUGCAAAGUGGAGAAUCCUCUUAACUCGUCAUUCAAAAUGGCUUCUAAAUCAUUAUUUGAACUGGAGAAACGUUGAACUUGUGAGAUCAAGACUUUAGCUCAGUGUUAAAACAAGGGAAGGACCGUGGUUCACGUCUGACCUGGAAUCCGAGGAAACAGAACCCGGGAAAGAAAGAUGUGGUAGUUGGACUGAAAUGUUAAUAAGAAGUCUGCCUGGGACACUUGGUAGUUGGACUGAAAUGUUAAGAAGUCUGCCUGGGACACUUGGUAGUUGGACUGAAAUGUUAAGAAGUCUGCCUGGGACACUUGGUAGUUGGACUGAAAUGUUAAGAAGUCUGCCUGGGACACUUGGUAGUUGGACUGAAAUGUUAAGAAGUCUACCUGAGACACUUGGUAGUUGGACUGAAAUGUUAAGAAGUCUGCCUGGGACACUUGGUAGUUGGACUGAAAUGUUAAGAAGUCUGCCUGAGACACUUGGUAGUUGGACUGAAAUGUUAAGAAGUCUGCCUGGGACACUUGGUAGUUGGACUGAAAUGUUAAGAAGUCUGCCUGAGACACUUGGUAGUUGGACUGAAAUAUUAAGAAGUCUGCCUGGGACACUUGGUAGUUGGACUGAAAUGUUAAGAAGUCUGCCUGGGACACUUGGUAGUUGGAUUGAAAUGUUAAGAAGUCUGCCUGGGACACUUGGUAGUUGGAUUGAAAUGUUAAGAAGUCUGCCUGGGACACUUGGUAGUUGGACUGAAAUAUUAAGUCUGCCUGGGACACUUGGUAGUUGGAUUGAAAUGUUAAGAAGUCUGCCUGGGACACUUGGUAGUUGGACUGAAAUGUUAAGAAGUCUGCCUGGGACACUUGGUAGUUGGACUGAAAUGUUAAGAAGUCUGCCUGGGACACUUGGUAGUUGGACUGAAAUGUUAAGAAGUCUACCUGGGACACUUGGUAGUUGGACUGAAAUGUUAAGAAGUCUGCCUGGGACACUUGGUAGUUGGACUGAAAUGUUAAGAAGUCUCCCUGGGACACUUGGUAGUUGGACUUUGGUUGGAUGGAUGAUGGAGUGGACUUGGAACAUGUGAAGAGGUAUUAGAAAAGUUUGUUGUGGGAUUUGGACUGGGACUACUGCGGAUGAUGUCACUGGGAAUGUUUGCGUCGGUUGGCUUUGGCCCUUGUUGUUUCAUGUGAGGAGCCUUUCUGUUGGCCUUGUGUUUCCCAUGCCAAGCAGCUGAAUCCUCUUCAUACACAGAGAAGCACAGACAGGAUGGAGUGACGACUCUGCUCGACGGAGGAAAGACACUCGAUUAGUUUUAUGCCAUGCAAAUACCAUCACAUUGCACUUAAUGUCACACACACAAAGAUAAAUGCACACAUACACGCUUUUUGGAGACCAGUGGUCAUUCACCAAGUGUAUUCCUACAUAGUAUGUAAAUGAAAAAGGAGUGAUAUUAUUAUGUAAAUGUAAUUAUAUUAUUGUCCCAAACACCUCUAUUGGUUUAUGUAAAGCAAUAAGGUUGUUUGUCAAAGUACAGAAUAUAUACUCCAGGUGGAAGUUGCCCCUAAGCGCAGAUCUAGGAUCAGCUUACUCCCCAAAUCAUAACUUUAACCAUUAGAGGGGAAUGCAAAACUGAUCUUAGAUCAGCAUUUAUGGACAAAGUCAUCCUACUUCUUACUAUACAGGAGAGCUAAAAGCACAAUCAUUUGAUUGACGUUUUGUUUUUGUUUUACCAUGUUCCGUUAUCUAUCUUGCAGAAUAAAUAACGGCCAAUAUAUUUUGAACAGAGGUGGGGGAAGGAGGGAGGAGCUAUCCAGUAGUUAUUAUUCCAGGUGACUUGUAAUGUGUACAGUGUACGGUAUUUAAACGUGUGUAAAGGUCACCAUAAGGCUGUGGAUUGGUUAUAUAGCACGGUAUUGUAACGAAACAGACAAAAGGCUAAGCUGCAUCGCAAAUGGCACCCUAUUCCCUAUACAGUGCACUACUUUUUGACCAGAGCCCAUAUGCUCUGAUCUAAAGUAAUUCACUAUAUAGGGUACCAUUUUGAACACACUAUGUGAGGGAACCCAGAUCUAAACUGUCUUUCUGGAAUAACACCGUUGGACCCAAAGAAGUAGAAAACACCCCUUCAUAUCUCUCUCUAGUAAAGAAGCACGGAAUUGAUUAGAGUUUCAACCAGGGAUUGGAGUUCAUUUUCAAUUCAGAAUAUUCAUUGAAAUGCUGUUCAUGAAAGGAAAAAUCUGUCAUUGAAUAACAAUGGGCAAAUUGAAUAGACUGAAUUAGAAAGAGGAAGGUCCCCAUCCCUGGUGGCCACUGUGUAUAGGGUAUUGAGAAGGUACGUUGUGUUGCUAUGUGCUGUGUUAUAUUUAUGGCCCAAAUGUUUUCCUGACCUCAUGCCCUGACCAGGAAAACGCUGAUCCCCAGUUGUAGGCUAUAGCUAAGGCUCAGAGUUGUUGUUGUUCAGAUCACAUGCUCAGGAAAAGGUCCUGUAUCUGAUUAGAAAACAGUGUUAUAGUGCAGUAUUACACUAGAACUAUAAUAUAGUAUACAGUCAUCUAUUAUUCAGAUCAGAUUGACAUAACCCACAUUUUAAUGAAUUAUGUGAAAUGUUCUACAUCAAAUAGUAUCAAACUAGUGUGUGUGUGUGUGUGUGUGUGUGUGUGUGUGUGUGUGUGUGUGUGUGUGUGUGUGUGUGUGUGUGUGUGUGUGUGUGUGUGUGUGUGUGUGUGUGUGUGUGUACAGUGCACUCAAUAGUGUUAGUUUGAAUCAGCACAGACACCUUUACCCUAUCCUCCCACAAUAUUCAGUGUGUGUGUUAAUGUGGUUUUAUGAAGUGUCUGUCAGAGGUUCCUUGUGGAGAUGACCCACACGUUCUGCAUGAGUCACACUGCUCAGGCUCAUGCACACACACACACAUACACACACGUACUGUACACAGUACACACCAAGCAGACAGCGAGCAGUCCUCUGUGCCACAGAAACCUCAUUAUCUGCGUCUCAUGCGGCACCCUAUCCCCCGAUGUGAUUCUGGUCAAAAGUAGUGCACUACAUAGGGAAUAGGGUGUCGUGAGGUUUGCACAUUGUCUCUUUUUCUGCACUACUGUGUCACCCUGUAACCCGUCUGUUGUACGGUUCCUAUUAGUUUUACCACUUCCCUUCACUCCACAUCUGUAGAUAGCUGUAAAUAGCAAUUAGAGUGAUAUAGCUGGAGGUGGAUAGAGGAUUUAGAAAUGUUAGGGAAUGGAGACAUCAUGGCCCCCUUUGCCCUCCUCAAAGGAUUGUGGGUAGUGUGGUUCUCUUAGGAGUGAAAAGAUAGAGCUGCCAACUGUGAUUCCACAGAACGUUAUUAUAAUCAGAGAAGGGAUGGGCCCUGAGGAAGAUCUCUCACCUCAUUGGUUGAACACCUGGGGGACUGGCCAGAGCCCAAAUGGGCAGAGUCCUCCAGAAAUGAACCAAUGAGAGGGUUUCUUUUUUCACGUGUGUAGUUUAGAGUGCUGGAUCCUGUCUUGAGAUCCACACACAAAACUAGACUUUCCUCACAAAUAUAUCAAUAACAUGAUUUACGUGAAAGUCUGAUUUUGUUGUAUGUCAAGUUAGGAAUGGGUUCAGAGAGCAUUCCUAUAAUGACUCAUGAAUGGACAAAGAGGCUGCUGUAUGGCUGAAUCAAAACCAAGAUAGAAACACACAGAACAGAGCUGAUAUGAUUCUAGAAUAGAUUAUACAAGCCAGAUAGUUGUCUGUUCUACGUAGUUUCUACCUGAAAAAGACCCUACAGCCUUUCACUGAUGUGUGUUAUCAGAAAGUCAUGUAGCUGGAAAAUGGGCAAUGAUCAUGUUGCAGAAGAGAAGUGGCACAAAGGACUAUGGGAAGAGUAGUUCAUUGAGUGUAGUUAAUCAGAAACAUGUUCUAUAAACUCAAGCCUACCAAGGAUGCAGUUUGUAAUUUUUGCAUCCCCCUAGAUCAUACUAUCAGCCCAGAAACAACUCCUAGCCCCUAGCAGUUCAAAUACCUGAAGGGACUGGAUAGAGGACAAGGUUAACUAUUAGGCUUUGGGGAACUUCCACCAUAUUGUUUACGCUUGUCUGCUCUGCCAAACACAAAACGUGGAAGUGCCUCCAAGUUGUUUCUGGACCGGGCCUCUGAGGGGUGCAAUGACUUCUGGGCAGUGUAGUUCUACUAACCUCCAUCUCUGUCCUUCCCUCCCUGCAUGGCCCCAAUAAGUGUUCCUCCCAGCCAGCAUGAGAACCAAUAAGGACGCAAACUGUGAAAUUAACAUAUUUGUAUUUUAUUAUUAUAAUUCUUCUGCAUUAAUAAUGUCUUUGGUUUGAAAAGUGUAACUGUUUUUAAUCUCUUAUUGUUUUUGUAAACAUGUUUUUUGUUUGGACAUUUUUUUUAACAUAAUGAUCAUGUAUAGACAUUUUAUUAUUUUAUUUUUAAUAUAGUUAUUAUUAGAAUUAUUCUAGCUAUUUAUUCUAGCAAUAGUCUUCCUACUAUAAUGUACUGUGGCAAUGCAUCCUAACUAUAAGAUAUCAUGUAUAUGACGAAAUUAUCAUAUCGAAUCUGCAAAAGGAUUUUCCUAAUAAAAACAACAGUUAAGAAUC